GCGCCCGUAGCUCAGUUGGAUUAGAGUACCUGGCUACGAACCAGGUGGUCGGAGGUUCGAAUCCUUCCGGGCGCACCA
Molecule: transfer RNA, 78 nt
Filed under: Francisellaceae bacterium
Lineage: Bacteria; Pseudomonadati; Pseudomonadota; Gammaproteobacteria; Thiotrichales; Francisellaceae
Description: tRNA-Arg
Rfam family: tRNA
About the family: Transfer RNA (tRNA) molecules are approximately 80 nucleotides in length. Their secondary structure includes four short double-helical elements and three loops (D, anti-codon, and T loops).
Source: RNAcentral